AGUGAACGCUGGCGGUAGGCCUAACACAUGCAAGUCGAACGGCAGCACAGUAAGAGCUUGCUCUUACGGGUGGCGAGUGGCGGACGGGUGAAGAAUACAUCGGAAUCUACUUUUUCGUGGGGGAUAACGUAGGGAAACUUACGCUAAUACCGCAUAGGACCUACGGGUGAAAGCAGGGGAUCUUCGGACCUUGCGCGAUUGAAUGAGCCGAUGUGGUGUUGGCUAGUUGGCGGGGUAAAGGCCCACCAAGCCGACGAACCGUCGCUGGGCUGCGAGGAUGCGCAGGAAGACCGGAACGGAGACACGGUCCAGACCCCUACGGGAGGCAGCAGAGGGGAAGAGUGGAAAAUGGGAGGAAGCCUGAUCCAGCCAUACCGCGUGGGUGAAGAAGGCAUUCGGGUUGUAAAGCCCUUUGUUGGGAAAGAAAAGCAGCAGGUUAAUACCCCGCUGUUCUGACGGUACUCAAAGAAUAAGCACCGGCUAACUUCGUG
This 491-nucleotide ribosomal RNA is filed under the name uncultured bacterium. Its description in RNAcentral is "partial 16S ribosomal RNA". It matches the Rfam family "Bacterial small subunit ribosomal RNA", at positions 29 to 507 of the family's 1533-position model. The record is from RNAcentral.